AGACUCGACGCCUUCCGCGUCUUCAAACUCCAUGGCCGCCAAGUCGUUCGCGCCCUUGACAACCUUGUGAACCCAGCGCGCGUUGGCCAGCUCUGCGAGGUGGUUGUGAAACGACGUGUCCGCGUAGAGCGGGAAAGAAGGCGACGUCAAGCUCGUGUACUUGAGAUCGCCGUCGACGUAGAACUCAAUCGCGCCCGCGUCGUUCACGAUCACUUGGAAAGUCUCACCCGCGACGAAGACGCCGGCAUCGAACUUGUUCACGCCCUUCUCUUGGAAUCGGACCUGAUUGCCGUUGCAGAACACGGCGUAGUCGAUGGUCGUUUGGCUGUGGCCCGAGGGCGUGCUCGACAAGCCAAACUGCAAGUGCCUGUUGUCGGUGCGCAUGCAGUCGCCGGAAAUGCCGCGAACCUCGUCGCCGACUUUCGUGAUGGCGCGCGCGCUGUACGCACCUCUUGCCCAGUUGUUCCCGCCUUGAGUACGUUUGAGGUAGCCCUGUUUGCCGUCCGUCGUCAUGCCCUGCGAAAGUCCGACCCACUCGAUGAGAUCGAGAUCCCGUGAACCUUUAUGAACAACUUUUAUCCACUUCACAUUUUCGAGGUGUCCUCCACCUUCAUCAACGUAUCCAUCGGCAAACAAUGGGAAGAUCGGUUCUCUGCUACUAUUGUAGACAGAAUGUCCUUCUUUAUAAUAGUGAACGAUACCCUCGUCAUUAAAUGCGACCUGGAACGUUUCUCCCGCGAGGUAUGUUCCGAUCGUGGCCAUAAGCUCACCGUCUUCGUAAACUUCCAUUGUUCCGGCAUUGCAACCAACGGCAUACUCAAUAGCAUCGCCAUCCGAGGGUGUGUAAUGAGCGCUGCUCAAACCGAAUAUCAUUUUCGUUGUUGUGUCACUGCAAUCCGCAGAAAUACCGCGAACUUCGUCAUAAAUUUUAGUUACGGCGCGUUUACUUGUCGAGCGCACAAUGUCCAUUUUUUCAGGUGUAACCGGCAAGUACACGUCGCCGUGUGACACUUCACAUCGCUGGACUGUUUCAAAGUCCAUCAUGUUUAGCCAAUGCAUGUGGCUUAGCUUCGCACCUUCGGUGAAGAUUCGAGCCUGGGAGUAAAGAGGGAAUUCAACACUUUUAGUGCUGACAUGAAGAACAUUACCAUUUUGCAGAUACUCGAUGACACCAUGCUCGUUGAUGACGAUAGAAAAUGUCUCUCCAGGGCUGUACGCCGAAGGAGGCUCGACAAUGCGCUCGUGCCUUUGGAAGGCUGACGCAUUGUGUUGGUCAUUUAUGUAUUCGGGUGAAUCACUAUCCAAUGAAUCAAGUGCCAAGUCUGGCGAAGUACCAAGAUGUGUUGAAGGCGGUGGACCUUGAGCAUCGUUCUCCGGGGUCGGGACUUGAAGUUGGCCUUCAAUCCCAUGUGGUGUAUUCGGCUCGGGACGUCGAUGUGGCUCGAUUGUUUUGAUGACAACUCCAUCUUCAAGGAGACGCAACGUUCCGGCAUCACAGUAUAUCGCAAAGGACAGGUUCGUCUGCGCCGGAGCAGUAGCGGUUUCAUUCGCAGCGGUUUCAUUCAACUGAGCAUCUUGAUCACCUUGCACCAUGAGUCCAAACAUCAUCUGUGACUUGUUGUCGGAACAAUCGGCAGACACGCCUUUUUUGGUGUCAUUCCAACCGCGAAUUGAUGAACGACUCGUUGCGAAAGCAAGUAAUGAAGCUUCUUCGAUGCGUUUUGCCGCCUCUUCACUCAACACGUGAGCGAGAGAUCCAGGUGUAAGAGUCGCAUUCUCAGGUAGAAGGAACUCAACAGGCUCAAGGUCAUCGGCACCUUCAAUGAUUCGGUAAACCCAGCGCGCGUUGGCCAGCUCUGCGAGGUGGUUGUGAAACGACGUGUCGGCGUAGAGCGGGAAAGAAGGCGACGUCAAGCUCGUGUACUUGAGAUCGCCGUCGACGUAGAACUCAAUCGCGCCCGCG
RNAcentral lists this long non-coding RNA (1963 nucleotides) under Ostreococcus sp. 'lucimarinus'. RNAcentral describes it as "long non-coding RNA (OLUC_LNC000043)". The record is from RNAcentral. Lineage: Eukaryota; Viridiplantae; Chlorophyta; Mamiellophyceae; Mamiellales; Bathycoccaceae.